UACAGAGGGUGCGAGCGUUGUUCGGAAUUACUGGGCGUAAAGCGCGCGCAGGCGGCCCUUUAAGUCCGUCGGUCAAAUGCCGGGGCUCAACCCCGAUGCAUGCCGAGGAUACUGGAGGGCUGGAGACACGUAGAGGCAAGCGGAAUUCCGGGUGUAGCGGUGGAAUGCGUAGAGAUCCGGAAGAACACCGGAGGCGAAGGCGGCUUGCUGGGCGUGGUCUGACGCUGAGGCGCGAAAGCGUGGGGAGCGAACAGG
RNAcentral lists this ribosomal RNA (255 nucleotides) under uncultured bacterium. Its description in RNAcentral is "partial 16S ribosomal RNA". It matches the Rfam family "Bacterial small subunit ribosomal RNA", at positions 524 to 776 of the family's 1533-position model. The record is from RNAcentral.